Molecule: ribosomal RNA, 439 nt
Filed under: uncultured bacterium
Lineage: Bacteria
Description: partial 16S ribosomal RNA
Rfam family: Bacterial small subunit ribosomal RNA
Source: RNAcentral
CUACGGGACGCUCCAGUGAGGAAUAUUGCACAAUGGGGGGAACCCUGAUGCAGCAACGCCGCGUGGAGGAUGACGCAUUUCGGUGUGUAAACUCCUUUUAUAUGUCAAGAAAAUGACGGUAGCAUAUGAAUAAGCACCGGCUAACUCCGUGCCAGCAGCCGCGGUAAUACGGAGGGUGCAAGCGUUACUCGGAAUCACUGGGCGUAAAGGACGCGUAGGCGGGUUGGAAAGUCAGGUGUGAAAUCCUACAGCUUAACUGUAGAACUGCACUUAAAACUUCUAAUCUAGAGUAUGGGAGGGGGAGAUGGAAUUAGUGGUGUAGGGGUAAUAUCCGUAGAUAUCACUAGGAAUACCUAAAGCGAAGGCGAUCUCCUGGAACAUUACUGACGCUAAGGCGUGAAAGCGUGGGGAGCAAACAGGAUUAGAUACCCCCGUAGUC